AUUGAACGCUGGCGGCAUGCUUUACACAUGCAAGUCGAACGGUAACAGGCCUUCGGGUGCUGACGAGUGGCGAACGGGUGAGUAAUGCAUCGGAACGUGCCCAGAGGUGGGGGAUAACGCAGCGAAAGCUGUGCUAAUACCGCAUGUGAUCUGAGGAUGAAAGCGGGGGACCAAGCAGCAAUGUUUGGCCUCGCGCCUCUGGAGCGGCCGAUGUCAGAUUAGGUAGUUGGUGGGGUAAAGGCCUACCAAGCCGACGAUCUGUAGCUGGUCUGAGAGGACGACCAGCCACACUGGGACUGAGACACGGCCCAGACUCCUACGGGAGGCAGCAAUGGGGAAUUUUGGACAAUGGGCGCAAGCCUGAUCCAGCAAUGCCGCGUGCGGGAAGAAGGCCUUCGGGUUGUAAACCGCUUUUGUACGGAACGAAAAGGCUCUGGCUAAUACCUGGGGCUGAUGACGGUACCAUAAGAAUAAGCACCGGCUAACUACGUG
RNAcentral lists this ribosomal RNA (492 nucleotides) under uncultured bacterium. RNAcentral describes it as "partial 16S ribosomal RNA". It matches the Rfam family "Bacterial small subunit ribosomal RNA", at positions 30 to 507 of the family's 1533-position model. The record is from RNAcentral.